This is a long non-coding RNA of Homo sapiens (human), 1776 nucleotides long. Ensembl annotates it as NSUN5 pseudogene 2. Its record names the gene NSUN5P2. The record is from Ensembl. Lineage: Eukaryota; Metazoa; Chordata; Mammalia; Primates; Hominidae.
CGCUGCGGUGGCAGGCGUGCUGGCCGGCGUGGAGAGCCGCCAGGGCUCUAUCAAGGGGCUGGUGUACUCCAGCAACUUCCAGCCUCGAUGACUUACGAGCCCUCAAGGGGAAGCAUUUUCUCCUGGACCCCUUGAUGCCGGAGCUGCUGGUGUUUCCCGCCCAGACAGAUCUGCAUGAACACCCACUGUACCGGGCCGGACACCUCAUUCUGCAGGACAGGGCCAGCUGUCUCCCAGCCAUGCUGCUGGACCCCCGCCAGGCUCCCAUGUCAUGGAUGCCUGUGCCACCCCAGGCAAUAAAGACCAGUCACUUGGCUGCUCUUCUGAAGAACCAAGGGUAUGCCGAGCAGACAGCUGGAGGAGCCCGGGGCAGGGACACCUAGCCCGGUGCGUCUGCAUGCCCUGGCAGGGUUCCAGCAGCGAGCCCUGUGCCACGCGCUCACUUUCCCUUCCCUGCAGCGGCUCGUCUACUCCAUGUGCUCCCUCUGCCAGGAGGAGAAUGAAGACAUGGUACAAGAUGCGCUGCAGCAGAACCCGGGCGCCUUCAGGCUAGCUCCCGCCCUGCCUGCCCGGCCCCACCGAGGCCUGAGCACGUUCCCGGGUGCCGAGCACUGCCUCCGGGCUUCCCCCAAGACCACGCUUAGCGGUGGCUUCUUCGUUGCUGUAAUUGAACGGGUCGAGAUGCCGACGUGAGUGAGUGGGGGCAUGCUUGGGAGGCGCAGGAUGGUACUGGCACAUCUAACAUCUACAUUUCUCUAGCUCAGCCUCACAGGCCAAAGCAUCAGCACCAGAACGCACACCCAGCCCAGCCCCAAAGAGAAAGAAGAGAGCAAAAAGCUGCAGCCGGUGCUUGCACACCGCCUUGCACAUAGCAGAGGCUCCGGGCUCACUCCUUCCUGGUGGGAAAGGAAGAUGCCUGUCCUCUCCGUGGAAGACCCUGGGCCCUCACCGCAGGCAGCAGUUUGCGUUUUGAAAGGUUAUUGGGUCCCUUCCUCGGGCUGUGUUCUUGCUGGUGAGCAAAAGUGUUGCCUGCAGAAAUAAAAUGCAGAACGUACUCUACGAUAGAUCACAGUUUUUUAUUCUUAAUGUCACAAGCAGGAGAAAAAUCUCACAUUCAUACUAAAAAUUCCAACUAGACUCAACAGGAAUGAAGUCUCUAUUUGUAAUGGAAAGUCCCAGCCUCCCGCUGCCGUCCAGUGCGUGUACUGUACACAUCCACACUCAUUCUCACUCAGGGUUCCCGGACCGGCUGUCCUGCCUGCGGAACUGAGGUAAACUAGCUCAGGUACUGACACUAGGAGGGUCUACCUUACAUAAGGUACAGGUAGAAGCUUGAUUGCUAGGCCCAGGCCCACCCAGACCCUCCAAUCCUAACAGGUAUUUAGGCUUGAGGUUCACUCCCUCCUCAGCUGCACACGCAGCCAGGUAUUAACGAGGAUCAGAGCUGUUCUGAGGGGUGGGAAGGAGCAGCCCCGCCACCACUCACUCACCCUCAGUCACAUCGGGGAGGGGGCACCAGUUACAUUUACAUCACAUUAUUUAUAAAAUAAGAAUUACAUUUCAUAUAACAUGGCCAGAAGGAGCUCUAGUCCCCCAGGAAAGCUGCCGGGGACAGCAUUUGAGCCUCUUCUUUGCACAGGCAUAACUUAACUAUACAGCUAAUUCCUAGUUAAUAGCAUUUAUACUUAACCACCUCAAUGAACCAAGCUUGAAGGAAUUUAAAAGGCAAUUUAGCUUAAAUACAAAAAUAAAUUUUUGUUAAAAAACGUUUAAAUA